Molecule: transfer RNA, 77 nt
Filed under: Clostridiaceae bacterium
Lineage: Bacteria; Bacillati; Bacillota; Clostridia; Eubacteriales; Clostridiaceae
Description: tRNA-His
Rfam family: tRNA
About the family: Transfer RNA (tRNA) molecules are approximately 80 nucleotides in length. Their secondary structure includes four short double-helical elements and three loops (D, anti-codon, and T loops).
Source: RNAcentral
GUGGGUAUAGCUCAGUUGGUUAGAGCGCCAGGUUGUGGCCCUGGAGGUCAUGGGUUCGACCCCCAUUACUCACCCCA